Molecule: non-coding RNA, 45 nt
Filed under: Schistosoma margrebowiei
Lineage: Eukaryota; Metazoa; Platyhelminthes; Trematoda; Strigeidida; Schistosomatidae
Source: RNAcentral
AUUCAGCCGAAGAGUCCCAAGUAGGAUGAAACGUACGUUCUAAAU